Molecule: ribosomal RNA, 484 nt
Filed under: uncultured bacterium
Lineage: Bacteria
Description: partial 16S ribosomal RNA
Rfam family: Bacterial small subunit ribosomal RNA
Source: RNAcentral
AUUGAACGCUGGCGGCAGGCCUAACACAUGCAAGUCGAGCGGAUGAAGGGAGCUUGCUCCUGGAUUCAGCGGCGGACGGGCGAGUAAUGCCUAGGAAUCUGCCUGGCAGUGGGGGAUAACGUCCGGACACGGGCGCUAAUACCGCAUCCGUCCUGAGGGAGAAAGUGGGGGAUCUUCGGACCUCACGCUAUCAGAUGAGCCUAGGUCGGAUUAGCUAGUUGGUGGGGUAAAGGCCUACCAAGGCGACGAUCCGUAACUGGUCUGAGAGGAUGAUCAGUCACACUGGAACUGAGACACGGUCCAGACUCCUACGGGAGGCAGCAGUAGGGAAUCUUGGGCAAUGGGCGAAAGCCUGAUGGAGCCAUGCCGCGUGUGUGAAGAAGGUCUUCGGAUUGUAAAGCACUGUAAGUUGGGAGGAAGAGCAGUAAGUUUAUACGUUGCUGUUUUGACGUUACCAACAGAAUAAGCCCCGGCUAACUUCGUG